UUAUCGGAGAGUUUGAUCCUGGCUCAGGACGAACGCUGGCGGCGUGCCUAAUACAUGCAAGUCGAGCGGAAUCGAUG
This 77-nucleotide ribosomal RNA is filed under the name Paenibacillus lutrae. RNAcentral's name for it is "Bacterial small subunit ribosomal RNA". It matches the Rfam family "Bacterial small subunit ribosomal RNA", at positions 1 to 77 of the family's 1533-position model. The record is from Rfam by way of RNAcentral. Lineage: Bacteria; Bacillati; Bacillota; Bacilli; Caryophanales; Paenibacillaceae.